UGUUUCCAGAUACAUGACUUCUUCACCGAUGACUGCUUCUUCACAACGGUUUCGUGGCCGAGUGCUUGUUGACGUCAAAUCAUGAUUAUUUUUUAUGACGUGCGUGCGGUUUUGUAUUCUUCUCGACAUAAUUAAGAAGCAGUCGUUGAGGGCUACGCUAAAUUCUGCGUUAAUUACUGGAGAUUCCUUUCUGUCAAAUGCUCUACGGAAGGCCUAAGCGCAAAUGACGUUUAUUUCAAGAAAUGUUAAUUCAGCUGUCCCUGGUAUAUAAGAUGGAGGUUUCAAUGAUGGUGGAAAAUAUAUUAUUGAAGUCUUCGCAAACACAAUAAGCAGCUUGCAAGUGAAAAGAGUAAAACGCAAAAAUUGCCGAAGAAAGUCUUUCUUAUCAAAUUUACAACGGAGACAAUUCAAAUCAACGCACACAAGGCAGAAUAAUAUACAGAGAUCUCUUAUAUUGAAACUGUCGUUAGGAUAUUGCGAGAUCGAGCGGAAACUUUCAAAUUAUACAAUUUUUGGUUGGAUCGUUUGUUCGUAUUUUCAGAAUGGGUACUCGUGAGGUUCCGCUUUAUUUCCUUGCUGGUUGUAUGGCGUUCGUGGCAUUGUUCGUUCUGUGCUUGAUGUUUGCAGUUGUUUGUCCGUACACGAGAAUACGUGCGUUUUGUCUCAGAUGUUGCGGAUACAGAGAGUCCGAGAUGGAAUAUUACGCUAAACUACAACAACAACGAGGAGACAUGAGCUAAGCAAACACGAGACCGUGCGAGAAGGAUGAAUGAAAAUUUCAGAAUUCUGUAUUGGACAGACUGUACACAAGAGAAACUAAACGAUUCGAAAGUGAAUCAAAGAGGACACUGGAUUUUGGAGCCUUGGAAAACGUAAACAUUUCAUUGUUACGUAUUUAUUUGACUCUCCAAAGCAACAUAUGGAAAGUGCGAUCCGGCGACCUUCUAAUGUAGUACUGCGUGAAUCUGUAGAAACUGUUUCAGUUAGCUUUUUAGCCGUACGUCUUCAUUGCCUAAUAGUACGCACAUUAAAAGAAACUGCAAUAAAUACGUGAGUUUUGAAGCAACAGAAGGAAUGGGUGAGAGUCAGUCAGGUUCAUUGUUAAUUGAAAAAUAAAACACAGGUUGCCGUGAAGCAGCACAAAACAAAUUUACAUAUUUCUAAUAUUCAGGAAACGCCCGUCAACUGAUGUAUUGUUUACUGAGAAAGCCAGAAGAAAGAAAAGGAAAAUGCAAUAUUUUUUAUACAGCGCACCGAUAUAGUUUUUAAACCUUGAUAUCAUUUUGAGCGCUUUGGUGUUAGACUUAUGUUCCCAACAUCGUGACCGAGUGGUUCAUGUACAGGGCUGUGUAAAGGGAAAUAAAAGCGCUCGUAAUGUGUACAAUUAUUCUUAUAGUUCGGGAUAAACAUGUAAAUAAGAUUAGAAAUCAUUUAUAACUAGAUUGUUUCUCAUCCAUAAAGACUUAUUUAAUAACGAA
Long non-coding RNA from Orbicella faveolata, 1478 nucleotides. The record is from RefSeq and is a predicted model, not a curated record. NCBI's taxonomy places the organism in Eukaryota, Metazoa, Cnidaria, Anthozoa, Scleractinia, Merulinidae.